This 484-nucleotide ribosomal RNA is filed under the name uncultured bacterium. RNAcentral's name for it is "partial 16S ribosomal RNA". It matches the Rfam family "Bacterial small subunit ribosomal RNA", at positions 30 to 507 of the family's 1533-position model. The record is from RNAcentral.
AUUGAACGCUGGCGGCGGGCCUAACACAUGCAAGUCGAGCGGAUGAAGGGAGCUUGCUCCUGGAUUCAGCGGCGGACGGGUGAGUAAUGCCUAGGAAUCUGCCUGGUAGUGGGGGAUAACGUCCGGAAACGGGCGCUAAUACCGCAUACGUCCUGAGGGAGAAAGUGGGGGAUCUUCGGACCUCACGCUAUCAGAUGAGCCUAGGUCGGAUUAGCUAGUUGGUGGGGUAAAGGCCUACCAAGGCGACGAUCCGUAACUGGUCUGAGAGGAUGAUCAGUCACACUGGAACUGAGACACGGUCCAGACUCCUACGGGAGGGAGCAGUGGGGAAUAUUGGACAAUGGGCGAAAGCCUGAUCCAGCCAUGCCGCGUGUGUGAAGAAGGUCUUCGGAUUGUAAAGCACUUUAAGUUGGGAGGAAGGGCAGUAAGUUAAUACCUUGCUGUUUUGACGUUACCAACAGAAUAAGCACCGGCUAACCUCGUG